UGGGGAAUUUUGGACAAUGGGCGCAAGCCUGAUCCAGCCAUGCCGCGUGCGGGAAGAAGGCCUUCGGGUUGUAAACCGCUUUUGUCAGGGAAGAAAUCUUCUGAGUUAAUACCUCGGGGAGGAUGACGGUACCUGAAGAAUAAGCACCGGCUAACUACGUGCCAGCAGCCGCGGUAAUACGUAGGGUGCAAGCGUUAAUCGGAAUUACUGGGCGUAAAGCGUGCGCAGGCGGUUUUGUAAGACAGAGGUGAAAUCCCCGGGCUCAACCUGGGAACUGCCUUUGUGGACUGCAAGGCUUGAGUGCGGCAGAGGGGGAUGGAAUUCCGCGUGUAGCAGUGAAAUGCGUAGAUAUGCGGAGGAACACCGAUGGCGAAGGC
This 377-nucleotide ribosomal RNA is filed under the name uncultured bacterium. RNAcentral's name for it is "partial 16S ribosomal RNA". It matches the Rfam family "Bacterial small subunit ribosomal RNA", at positions 355 to 722 of the family's 1533-position model. The record is from RNAcentral.